RNAcentral lists this transfer RNA (73 nucleotides) under archaeon. RNAcentral's name for it is "tRNA-Asp". It matches the Rfam family "tRNA". From Rfam's summary of the family: Transfer RNA (tRNA) molecules are approximately 80 nucleotides in length. Their secondary structure includes four short double-helical elements and three loops (D, anti-codon, and T loops). The record is from RNAcentral.
GCCUCGGUAGUCUAGUGGUCUAGGAUCUCGGGUUGUCGACCCGAGGACCCGGGUUCAAAUCCCGGCCGGGGCG